This is a non-coding RNA of Caenorhabditis brenneri, 97 nucleotides long. The record is from Rfam. Lineage: Eukaryota; Metazoa; Nematoda; Chromadorea; Rhabditida; Rhabditidae.
GUCGCCAUAGCUCAGUUGGUUAGAGCGUGGGUUAAUAAUCCUAGACGAGGAACUACUAACACACCCAAGGUCGCAGGUUCGAACCCUGCUGGCGGCA